UGGGGAAUAUUGCACAAUGGGCGAAAGCCUGAUGCAGCGACGCCGCGUGAGGGAUGACGGCCUUCGGGUUGUAAACCUCUUUCAGUAGGGACGAAGCGCAAGUGACGGUACCUGCAGAAGAAGCACCGGCUAACUACGUGCCAGCAGCCGCGGUAAUACGUAGGGUGCGAGCGUUGUCCGGAAUUACUGGGCGUAAAGAGCUCGUAGGCGGUUUGUCACGUCGUCUGUGAAAUCCUAGGGCUUAACCCUGGACGUGCAGGCGAUACGGGCUGACUUGAGUACUACAGGGGAGACUGGAAGUUCUGGUGUAGCGGUGGAAUGCACAGAGAUCAGGAAGAACACCGAUGGAGAAGGCAGGUAUCUGGGUAGGAACUGACGCUGAGGAGCGAAAGCAUGGGUAGCGAACAGG
RNAcentral lists this ribosomal RNA (409 nucleotides) under bacterium. RNAcentral describes it as "partial 16S ribosomal RNA". It matches the Rfam family "Bacterial small subunit ribosomal RNA", at positions 355 to 776 of the family's 1533-position model. The record is from RNAcentral.